CGUGCACCAGUGGGGUCCCUCGGCCUGGCCUGCGCCCUCUCGCAAUCCGGGACCUCUCGGGGGAUGUUGGAGAGCCGGUUUCAGCUUGAUACCGCAGGCCAGGCUGAGGGACCCCACUGGUGCACG
This is a non-coding RNA of Myotis brandtii (Brandt's bat), 126 nucleotides long. The record is from Rfam. NCBI's taxonomy places the organism in Eukaryota, Metazoa, Chordata, Mammalia, Chiroptera, Vespertilionidae.